This 465-nucleotide ribosomal RNA is filed under the name uncultured bacterium. RNAcentral describes it as "partial 16S ribosomal RNA". It matches the Rfam family "Bacterial small subunit ribosomal RNA", at positions 29 to 507 of the family's 1533-position model. The record is from RNAcentral.
AUGAACGCUGGCGGCGUGCUUAACCCCUGCAAGUCGAACCAUGAAGCCCAGCUUGCUGGGUGGAUUAGUGGCGAACGGGUGAGUAACACGUGAGUAACCUGCCCUUAACUCUGGGAUAAGCCUGGGAAACUGGGUCUAAUACCGGAUAGGAGCGUCCACCGCAUGGUGGGUGUUGGAAAGAUUUAUCGGUUUUGGAUGGACUCGCGGCCUAUUAGCUUGUUGGUGAGGUAAUGGCUCACCAAGGCGACGACGGGUAGCCGGCCUGAGAGGGUGACCGGCCACACUGGGACUGAGACACGGCCCAGACUCCUACGGGAGGCAGCAGUGGGGAAUAUUGCACAAUGGGCGCAAGCCUGAUGCAGCGACGCCGCGUGAGGGAUGACGGCCUUCGGGUUGUAAACCUCUUUCAGUAGGGAAGAAGCGAAAGUGACGGUACCUGCAGAAGAAGCACCGGCUAACUACGUG